GACGAACGCUGGCGGCGUGCUUAACACAUGCAAGUCGAACGAGGUCCACUGCGUAGCAAUACAAGGGAAGACCUAGUGGCGAACGGGUGCGUAACACGUGAGGAACUUGUCCCGGUCUCUGGGAUAACAGUUGGAAACGACUGCUAAUACCGGAUGACGUCGGAAUCUCGCAUGGGAUACUGACGAAAGGGUUACUGGAUCGGGAGAGCCUCGCGGCCUAUCAGCUUGUUGGUGAGGUAACGGCUCACCAAGGCAUCGACGGGUAGCUGGUCUGAGAGGAUGAUCAGCCACACUGGGACUGAAACACGGCCCAGACUCCUACGGGAGGCAGCAGUGGGGAAUCUUGCGCAAUGGGCGAAAGCCUGACGCAGCAACGCCGCGUGCGGGAAGAAGGACCCUCGGUGU
This 405-nucleotide ribosomal RNA is filed under the name uncultured bacterium. Its description in RNAcentral is "bacterial SSU rRNA". It matches the Rfam family "Bacterial small subunit ribosomal RNA", at positions 28 to 424 of the family's 1533-position model. The record is from RNAcentral.